RNAcentral lists this ribosomal RNA (2934 nucleotides) under Pseudomonas sp. ABAC21. Its description in RNAcentral is "bacterial LSU rRNA". It matches the Rfam family "Bacterial large subunit ribosomal RNA". The record is from RNAcentral. Lineage: Bacteria; Pseudomonadati; Pseudomonadota; Gammaproteobacteria; Pseudomonadales; Pseudomonadaceae.
GUUAUAUGGUCAAGUGAAGAAGCGCAUACGGUGGAUGCCUUGGCAGUCAGAGGCGAUGAAAGACGUGGUAGCCUGCGAAAAGCUUCGGGGAGUCGGCAAACAGACUUUGAUCCGGAGAUGUCUGAAUGGGGGAACCCAGCCAUCAUAAGAUGGUUAUCUUACGCUGAAUACAUAGGCGUAAGAGGCGAACCAGGGGAACUGAAACAUCUAAGUACCCUGAGGAAAAGAAAUCAACCGAGAUUCCCUUAGUAGUGGCGAGCGAACGGGGACUAGCCCUUAAGUGGCUUUGAGAUUAGCGGAACGCUCUGGAAAGUGCGGCCAUAGUGGGUGAUAGCCCUGUACGCGAAAAUCUCUUAGUCAUGAAAUCGAGUAGGACGGAGCACGAGAAACUUUGUCUGAAUAUGGGGGGACCAUCCUCCAAGGCUAAAUACUACUGACUGACCGAUAGUGAACUAGUACCGUGAGGGAAAGGCGAAAAGAACCCCGGAGAGGGGAGUGAAAUAGAUCCUGAAACCGUAUGCGUACAAGCAGUGGGAGCCCACUUUGUUGGGUGACUGCGUACCUUUUGUAUAAUGGGUCAGCGACUUAUUUUCAGUGGCGAGCUUAACCGAAUAGGGGAGGCGUAGCGAAAGCGAGUCUUAAUAGGGCGUCUAGUCGCUGGGAAUAGACCCGAAACCGGGCGAUCUAUCCAUGGGCAGGUUGAAGGUUGGGUAACACUAACUGGAGGACCGAACCGACUACCGUUGAAAAGUUAGCGGAUGACCUGUGGAUCGGAGUGAAAGGCUAAUCAAGCUCGGAGAUAGCUGGUUCUCCUCGAAAGCUAUUUAGGUAGCGCCUCAUGUAUCACUGUAGGGGGUAGAGCACUGUUUCGGCUAGGGGGUCAUCCCGACUUACCAAACCGAUGCAAACUCCGAAUACCUACAAGUGCCGAGCAUGGGAGACACACGGCGGGUGCUAACGUCCGUCGUGAAAAGGGAAACAACCCAGACCGUCAGCUAAGGUCCCAAAGGNAGCUAAGGUCCCAAAGUUAUGGUUAAGUGGGAAACGAUGUGGGAAGGCUUAGACAGCUAGGAGGUUGGCUUAUAAGCAGCCACCCUUUAAAGAAAGCGUAAUAGCUCACUAGUCGAGUCGGCCUGCGCGGAAGAUGUAACGGGGCUCAAACCAUACACCGAAGCUACGGGUAUCACGUAAGUGAUGCGGUAGAGGAGCGUUCUGUAAGCCUGUGAAGGUGAGUUGAGAAGCUUGCUGGAGGUAUCAGAAGUGCGAAUGCUGACAUGAGUAACGACAAUGGGUGUGAAAAACACCCACGCCGAAAGACCAAGGUUUCCUGCGCAACGUUAAUCGACGCAGGGUUAGUCGGUCCCUAAGGCGAGGCUGAAAAGCGUAGUCGAUGGAAAACAGGUUAAUAUUCCUGUACUUCUGGUUAUUGCGAUGGAGGGACGGAGAAGGCUAGGCCAGCUUGGCGUUGGUUGUCCAAGUUUAAGGUGGUAGGCUGAGAUCUUAGGUAAAUCCGGGAUCUUAAGGCCGAGAGCUGAUGACGAGUGUUCUUUUAGAACACGAAGUGGUUGAUGCCAUGCUUCCAAGAAAAGCUUCUAAGCUUCAGGUAACCAGGAACCGUACCCCAAACCGACACAGGUGGUUGGGUAGAGAAUACCAAGGCGCUUGAGAGAACUCGGGUGAAGGAACUAGGCAAAAUGGCACCGUAACUUCGGGAGAAGGUGCGCCGGUGAGGGUGAAGGACUUGCUCCGUAAGCUCAUGCCGGUCGAAGAUACCAGGCCGCUGCGACUGUUUAUUAAAAACACAGCACUCUGCAAACACGAAAGUGGACGUAUAGGGUGUGACGCCUGCCCGGUGCCGGAAGGUUAAUUGAUGGGGUUAGCUAACGCGAAGCUCUUGAUCGAAGCCCCGGUAAACGGCGGCCGUAACUAUAACGGUCCUAAGGUAGCGAAAUUCCUUGUCGGGUAAGUUCCGACCUGCACGAAUGGCGUAACGAUGGCGGCGCUGUCUCCACCCGAGACUCAGUGAAAUUGAAAUCGCUGUGAAGAUGCAGUGUAUCCGCGGCUAGACGGAAAGACCCCGUGAACCUUUACUAUAGCUUUGCACUGGACUUUGAAUUUGCUUGUGUAGGAUAGGUGGGAGGCUUUGAAGCGUGGACGCCAGUCUGCGUGGAGCCAACCUUGAAAUACCACCCUGGCAACUUUGAGGUUCUAACUCAGGUCCGUUAUCCGGAUCGAGGACAGUGUAUGGUGGGUAGUUUGACUGGGGCGGUCUCCUCCUAAAGAGUAACGGAGGAGUACGAAGGUGCGCUCAGACCGGUCGGAAAUCGGUCGUAGAGUAUAAAGGCAAAAGCGCGCUUGACUGCGAGACAGACACGUCGAGCAGGUACGAAAGUAGGUCUUAGUGAUCCGGUGGUUCUGUAUGGAAGGGCCAUCGCUCAACGGAUAAAAGGUACUCCGGGGAUAACAGGCUGAUACCGCCCAAGAGUUCAUAUCGACGGCGGUGUUUGGCACCUCGAUGUCGGCUCAUCACAUCCUGGGGCUGAAGCCGGUCCCAAGGGUAUGGCUGUUCGCCAUUUAAAGUGGUACGCGAGCUGGGUUUAGAACGUCGUGAGACAGUUCGGUCCCUAUCUGCCGUGGACGUUUGAGAUUUGAGAGGGGCUGCUCCUAGUACGAGAGGACCGGAGUGGACGAACCUCUGGUGUUCCGGUUGUCACGCCAGUGGCAUUGCCGGGUAGCUAUGUUCGGAAUAGAUAACCGCUGAAAGCAUCUAAGCGGGAAACUAGCCUCAAGAUGAGAUCUCACUGGAACCUUGAGUUCCCUGAAGGGCCGUCGAAGACUACGACGUUGAUAGGUUGGGUGUGUAAGCGCUGUGAGGCGUUGAGCUAACCAAUACUAAUUGCCCGUGAGGCUUGACCAUAUAACACCCAAGCAAUU